Molecule: ribosomal RNA, 494 nt
Filed under: uncultured bacterium
Lineage: Bacteria
Description: partial 16S ribosomal RNA
Rfam family: Bacterial small subunit ribosomal RNA
Source: RNAcentral
GACGAACGCUGGCGGCGCGCUUAACACAUGCAAGUCGAACGGAAAGGCCUGCUUUCCCUUGUGGAUUGCGGGUACUCGAGUGGCGAACGGGUGAGUAACACGUGAGUGAUCUGCCCCCAACUUGGGUAUAAGCCUGGGAAACUGGGUCUAAUUCCCGAUAGGACUGCAGGGUGGUGCCUGUGGUGGAAAACGAUUUUCUAGUGGUUGGGGAUGAGCUCGCGGCCUAUCAGCUUGUUGGUGGGGUAAUGGCCUACCAAGGCGGCGACGGGUAGCCGGCCUGAGAGGGUGGACGGCCACAUUGGGACUGAGAUACGGCCCAGACUCAUACGGGAGGCAGCAGUGGGGAAUAUUGCACAAUGGGCGGAAGCCUGAUGCAGCGACGCCGCGUGGGGGAUGACGGCCUUCGGGUUGUAAACUCCUUUCGACCGCGAGGAAGCCACCUGGUUGGAAGGGUGGUGACGGUAGUGGUAGAAGAAGCACCGGCUAACUACGUG